This 86-nucleotide transfer RNA is filed under the name Oscillospiraceae bacterium. RNAcentral's name for it is "tRNA-Leu". It matches the Rfam family "tRNA". From Rfam's summary of the family: Transfer RNA (tRNA) molecules are approximately 80 nucleotides in length. Their secondary structure includes four short double-helical elements and three loops (D, anti-codon, and T loops). Lineage: Bacteria; Bacillati; Bacillota; Clostridia; Eubacteriales; Oscillospiraceae. The record is from RNAcentral. RNAcentral also lists the same sequence under 3 other names.
GCCGGUGUGGUGGAAUGGUAGACACAAGGGACUUAAAAUCCCUCGUUGGCAACAACGUACCGGUUCGAGUCCGGUCACCGGCACCA